UCAAAAGGAAUCCUCUACAGA
This 21-nucleotide non-coding RNA is filed under the name Caenorhabditis elegans. The record is from RNAcentral. Lineage: Eukaryota; Metazoa; Nematoda; Chromadorea; Rhabditida; Rhabditidae.